This 402-nucleotide ribosomal RNA is filed under the name Arthrobacter sp. AZTITEMP11. RNAcentral's name for it is "bacterial SSU rRNA". It matches the Rfam family "Bacterial small subunit ribosomal RNA", at positions 979 to 1378 of the family's 1533-position model. Lineage: Bacteria; Bacillati; Actinomycetota; Actinomycetes; Micrococcales; Micrococcaceae. The record is from RNAcentral.
GCUUGACAUGUUCUAGACCGCCAUAGAAAUAUGGUUUCCCCUUUGGGGCUGGUUCACAGGUGGUGCAUGGUUGUCGUCAGCUCGUGUCGUGAGAUGUUGGGUUAAGUCCCGCAACGAGCGCAACCCUCGUUCUAUGUUGCCAGCACGUGAUGGUGGGGACUCAUAGGAGACUGCCGGGGUCAACUCGGAGGAAGGUGGGGACGACGUCAAAUCAUCAUGCCCCUUAUGUCUUGGGCUUCACGCAUGCUACAAUGGCCGGUACAAUGGGUUGCGAUACUGUGAGGUGGAGCUAAUCCCAAAAAGCCGGUCUCAGUUCGGAUUGGGGUCUGCAACUCGACCCCAUGAAGUCGGAGUCGCUAGUAAUCGCAGAUCAGCAACGCUACGGUGAAUACGUUCCCGGGA